Molecule: long non-coding RNA, 214 nt
Filed under: Elaeis guineensis (African oil palm)
Lineage: Eukaryota; Viridiplantae; Streptophyta; Magnoliopsida; Arecales; Arecaceae
Description: long non-coding RNA (EGUI_LNC034027)
Source: RNAcentral
CAGAGCAUCAUUUUUUUUUAAAGUAGUGGGACAGUUUUAGGAGGAAUAAGAUAGAGAAGGACCAUGCACCCUAGUGGCUCAGUGGUAUAGAAGUAUUUCAGAGGAUAUCUCAACUAGACGAAGUCCCGUUUGGUAUUGAAUUUGAUAAGCAGAAGCUUAGGGAGUUUGGUACAAUUUAUAACUGGAUGAAGUGAAGCAUCUUCUGAGAAUUGCC